CUGCAAGGAUGGAUCUAACAUGCAGACCACUUCUCUAUCAUCGACAACUCCCUCCCUCAUGCUUCUCUCUCCCACGACUCUUCACCUAUUCCGCCAUCGUUAAACUACCUUGGGCUAUGACUACUUGGGCUUCAGAAUUGGGUUCUUAUAACUAUGUGUGUUCUCUAGUAUUGAGCUACGCCCUGAACUUAAGCAUUGUGCUUGUAAACUUUUAUUUCCUUUUGCAUUUUAAUAUAAAAAAGCCUCAGUUACAAAAAAAAAUAAAAUAAAAAUAAGACCACGUCUUCUUCAUUCUUAUUAUUGUCUUGACAUACAAGAUCAAGCUCAUCUUUGAUCCUGUUGUAAAUCGUGGUUCGAUGUCUCCGUCUUCGAUGUACAGCUAAAGCUUGUUCAAUCGUGGUUGGGUAGACUGUUAAAAAGAAGAAGCUAAAGUCAGGUUUAUACAAAAUUCGUUUAUACACAAUUCUAAGACUAAAUUAUAAAAAACAAAACAGUUUUGAACUAUUUCAUAAAAAUGUCAAGUUUUUUUCAAGAUGAUUAAUCUGUGUUAGUGAAAAAUGAAUUGUGAUCAAAUGGUUAGCUACUCGGUAGUAUUUUAUCCGUUGACGACAAUUUGUAGGCACGUCCGUGGAAAGUAAGUGAGUAGUGGCGAACCUUAAGCACGAAAAUACUAUUUGUAUCAAUUUAUUUUCAUUUUAAAUCCAGCAAAAUUUUAGAUAUUAGAAAAAGAGAUGUAUUUUUCGUCUUUGUUUUUGACUAGUAAUUUCACGUGUCAUCAUAGAUUUCAACUUAAUUUGUCUAAAAAAAAUUAAUAUAUAUCUACGAAAAAUUAACUCUUUUCACAAAAUAUAUUUCAUGAUUUUAUUAUGUUCACUAUAGAUUAACAAAUGGUAGGAAAUUAGGAAAGAAAUACUGGAUAUACUGAAUUCAUUUAAGAAAGUCAGGGGUUGAUUCAGGAAUCUAACCUAAAGUUUGGGGUCAUUUCGAGCUUGUAAAGUUACUUGGGCAAUCAAGUUACAAGAAAAAAAAGAGUUACUUGUUUACCAAAAAAAAAAAAAAGUUACUUGGGCAAUAUCCACUAAAAAAUCAUCAUUUUCUAAAUUAAUUUUGAAUUUAUAAAAGGAAGACAGUGGUGCAGGAGAAGACUUUCAAACAUGCUCGCGCGAACUCUAUUCUCAAGUCAACCAUAAAAAAAAACCUUUUCUAAUAAUACCCUCUCCGGCCACGAAUAAGACGAAAGGAGGUUAAAUGGCGAAGAAGCUCAAAGUCAACGAACUCCGUGCAAAGCUCGCCGAGCGUGGACUUGUUACCACCGGACUCAAACCCGUUCUGGUGGAGAGGCUUGAAGAGGCUAUCGCACAAGACGCAAAGAAGGUAAAAUCGAAGAGCAGGAGGAAAAGAAACAGAGACUCUUCGGAUAGUACUCAUGACUCGAACAAGUUGAUUGCAAUCGGCGAGUUUCGUGCGAUGAAUGUGAAGGAGUUGCGGAAGGAAGCUAGUAAGAGAGGCUUAGCUACAACGGGUACCAAGAAGGAAGUUCUCGGGAGGCUCUGCAAUGAUGAAGCUCAAGAUGACAAGAAUUGUCUCCAAGAAGAGAAAUCAACAAAGAAGGGAGCAGCGGUAUUGGAUCAAUGGAUUCCUGAUCACGUAAAGAGCGAGUACCAUGUUCUACAAAGGGGUGAUGAUGUUUAUGAUGCCAUGUUGAACCAGACAAAUGUCAGGGAUAAUAAUAACAAAUUCUUUGUCCUACAAGUGCUAGAGUCUGAUAACAAGAAAACAUAUAUGGUCCACUUCAGAUGGGGAAGAGUUGGUGUGAAAGGACAGAGUAAACUAGAUGGACCUUAUGACUCAUGUGAUCCUGCAAUAGAAAUAUUCAGCAACAAGUUCUAUGACAAGACAAGGAAUCAUUGGUCUGACAGAAAGGAGUUUUUCCUUCAUCCCAAGUCCUAUGCAUGGCUUGAAGUGGACUAUGGCAAAGAAGAAAAUGAUUCAGUUGUAAAUGAUAUUCCCAAAUCAUCUUCUAAAGUUACACGUGAUGAAUCAAAACUAGAUCCCCAGGUUGCCAAGUUCAUAUCUCUUAUAUGCAGUGUAAGCAUGAUGGCACAGCAAAUGAUGGAACUAGGAUACAACGCUAAAGAAUUACCACUUGGGAAGCUAAGCAAGUCCACAAUAUCAAAGGGUUAUGAAGUGUUGCAGAGAAUAUCGGAGAUGAUUGAGCGGUAUGAUAGAGCAAGGCUUGAGGAACUGAGUGGAGAGUUCUAUACUGUGAUACCCCAUGAUUUUGGUUUCAAGAAAAUGUGUCAAUUUGUUAUAGACACUCCCCAAAAGUUGAAACAGAAAAUAGAAAUGGUUGAAGCAUUAGGUGAAAUCGAAUUCGCGACGAAGUUGUUGUCCAUCGAUCAGGGAUUGCAAGAUGAUCCUUUAUAUUAUCACUACCAGCAACUUAACUGUGAAUUGACACCAGUAGGAGCUGAUUCAGAAGAGUUUUCUAUGGUUGCCAAAUACAUGGAGAACACUCAUGCAAAAGCGGAUUCCGGAUACACAGUUGAAAUGAUUCAACUGUUUAGAGCUUCGAGAGCUGUUGAAGCUGAUAGAUUCCAACAAUUUUCGAGUUCGAAGAACAGGAUGCUACUGUGGCAUGGAUCACGUCUUACUAACUGGGUUGGUAUUUUAUCUCAAGGUUCGGAAAAGGGGUUUACUUUGCCGAUAUGUUCUCCAAGAGUGUGAACUACUGCUAUGCUAACAGUGGUUCCAAUGACGGCGUUCUGCUCCUCUGCGAGGUUGCUUUGGGAGACGUGAAUGAGCUUAUAUAUCCGGAUUAUGAGGCGGAUAAUUUGCCCACGGGGAAGCUAAGCACAAAAGGUGUGGGGAAAACAGCACCAAACGGUUCAGAGGCUAAGACACUAGAAGAGGGUGUUGUUGUCCCACUUGGCAAACCAGAGGAUCAUUCAAGCACCAUG
Molecule: RNA transcript, 2960 nt
Organism: Brassica rapa (field mustard)
Lineage: Eukaryota; Viridiplantae; Streptophyta; Magnoliopsida; Brassicales; Brassicaceae
Gene name: poly [ADP-ribose] polymerase 2
Source: RefSeq, a predicted model, not a curated record